Molecule: long non-coding RNA, 298 nt
Organism: Myotis lucifugus (little brown bat)
Lineage: Eukaryota; Metazoa; Chordata; Mammalia; Chiroptera; Vespertilionidae
Exons: 3
Source: RefSeq, a predicted model, not a curated record
GAGGAGCAGCUGGUGGAGUCUGGGGGAGGCCUGGUGCAGCCUGGGGGGUCUCUGAGACUCUCCUGUGCAGCCUCUGGAUUCACUUUUGAUGACUAUGGCAUGAACUGGGUCCGCCAGGCUCCAGGGAAGAGGCUGGAGUGGGUCGCAUACAUUAUUGAUAGUAGUGGUAGUACCAUAUCCUACGCCGCCUCAGUGAAGGGCCGCUUCACCAUCUCCAGAGACAACGCCAAGAACACGCUGUAUCUGCAAAUGAACAGCCUGAGAGCCGAGGACACGGCCGUGUAUUACUGUGCGAGAG